This 551-nucleotide ribosomal RNA is filed under the name Kurixalus silvaenaias. RNAcentral's name for it is "partial large subunit ribosomal RNA". It matches the Rfam family "Bacterial large subunit ribosomal RNA", at positions 1841 to 2610 of the family's 2925-position model. Lineage: Eukaryota; Metazoa; Chordata; Amphibia; Anura; Rhacophoridae. The record is from RNAcentral.
CCGUUUAUUAGAGUCAGCCUGCCCAGUGAUAACAUUCAACGGCCGCAGUACCCUAACUGCGCGAAGGUAGCAUAAUCACUUGUUCUUUAAAUAGGGACUAGUAUCAACGGCAUCACGAGGGUUGCACUGUCUCCUUUGUCUAAUCAGUGAAACUGAUCUCCCCGUGAAAAAGCGGGGAUACACCUAUAAGACGAGAAGACCCCAUGGAGCUUUAAACCUACAGCAACUCAACCACAUAAUCCCACACAACCUUAGAGACAUGCCUGUUGGCUUUAGGUUGGGGUGACCGCGGAGUAAAAAUCAUCCUCCACAACACAAAGAUCUAAAUCUUUAUUCAAGAGCCACUACUCUAAAAAUUAGCAUACUAAUGUACACUGACCCGAUAAUCGACUAAUGAACCAAGUUACCCUGGGGAUAACAGCGCAAUCUAUUUCAAGAGUUCAUAUCGACAAAUAGGCUUACGACCUCGAUGUUGGAUCAGGGUACCCUAGUGGUGUAGCAGCUACUGAAGGUUCGUUUGUUCAACGAUUAAAACCCUACGUGAUCUGAGU